Ribosomal RNA from Fukomys damarensis (Damara mole-rat), 114 nucleotides. The record is from Ensembl. Lineage: Eukaryota; Metazoa; Chordata; Mammalia; Rodentia; Bathyergidae.
GUCUUCGGCCACACCACACUGAAUGCGCCGGAUCUCAUCUGAUCCCAGAAGCUAAGCAGAGUCGGGCCUGGUUAGUACUUGGAUGGGAGACAUGUUCAGCAGGUGUGAGGGAUC